GGAAACCUGCUGAGGUAAGGUCUAGCCAACCGCCUCGUACCGAGUCCUUGGAACCGAAGUGGUGACAUUAGGUUUAAGCGUAGGACAGGGAGCAACCGAGCCGAAACGCAAGUGAAGUGAUAGAGCUGGGAAAUGAUUAUCUAGAGGGAUUAGGUCGAUGCGCUCGUAUACGUAGCAGACAAUACUGUUUGAAUCGAUAUGGCAAUGAGUCAAAUGGCUACCCCCGAUCGGAGAGCU
Molecule: non-coding RNA, 237 nt
Filed under: Dethiosulfatibacter aminovorans DSM 17477
Lineage: Bacteria; Bacillati; Bacillota; Tissierellia
Source: RNAcentral